Molecule: ribosomal RNA, 420 nt
Filed under: uncultured bacterium
Lineage: Bacteria
Description: bacterial SSU rRNA
Rfam family: Bacterial small subunit ribosomal RNA
Source: RNAcentral
AAGGAAUAUUGGUCAAUGGACGCAAGUCUGAACCAGCCAUGCCGCGUGAAGGAUGAAGGUCCUCUGGAUUGUAAACUUCUUUUAUCUGGGACGAAAACGGGAUUUUUAUCUCAAUUGACGGUACCAGAGGAAUAAGCACCGGCUAACUCCGUGCCAGCAGCCGCGGUAAUACGGAGGGUGCGAGCGUUAUCCGGAUUUACUGGGUUUAAAGGGUGCGUAGGUGGGCUUAUAAGUCAGAGGUGAAAUCUCCGAGCUUAACUUGGAAACUGCCGUUGAUACUAUAGGUCUUGAAUUAUCUGGAGGUAAGCGGAAUAUGUCAUGUAGCGGUGAAAUGCUUAGAUAUGACAUAGAACACCAAUUGCGAAGGCAGCUUACUACAUAUAAAUUGACGCUGAGGCACGAAAGCGUGGGGAUCAAACA